Non-coding RNA from Rattus norvegicus (Norway rat), 165 nucleotides. The record is from Rfam. Lineage: Eukaryota; Metazoa; Chordata; Mammalia; Rodentia; Muridae.
UGUCUGUGGGACUGGAUGCCUGCGCGGCCCAAUGCUCUGGGAAAUGAAGCAGCUCAAUAAAAACUUCUGAUAUUAGUUUUUAUAGGUAUUUACACUUUGGUUUGGGUAGCUGGGUACGGAAGCUUCAUUAAUCAGUCCCCGACCUUGGGUUUGGGCUGGGAAAAG